AGGGUUUGAUCCUGGCUCAGGAUGAACGCUAGCGGCAGGCUUAACACAUGCAAGUCGAGGGGCAGCAUGUCCAGCAAUGGAUGAUGGCGACCGGCGUAAGGGUGCGUAACGCGUGAGCAACAUGCCCUAUACAGGAGGAUACUCCGGGGAAACCCGGUCUAAUACUCCAUAGUAUUAUUGAGAGGCAUCUCUUAAUAAUUAAAGCUUCGGUGGUAUAGGAUUGGCUCGCGUGACAUUAGCCAGAUGGUGAGGUAACGGCUCACCAUAGCAACGAUGUCUAGGGGUUUUGAGAGGAAGGCCCCCCACACUGGGACUGAGACACGGCCCAGACUCCUACGGGAGGCAGCAGUGAGGAAUAUUGGACAAUGGAUGGAAAUCUGAUCCAGUCAUGCCGCGUGCAGGAAGACUGCCUUAUGGGUUGUAAACUGCUUUUAUACGGGAGCAAUAAGGGUUACGUGUAACCUGAUGAGAGUACUGUAUGAAUAAGGAUCGGCUAACUCCGUGCCAGCCGCCGCGGUAAUAC
RNAcentral lists this ribosomal RNA (523 nucleotides) under uncultured Bacteroidota bacterium. RNAcentral describes it as "bacterial SSU rRNA". It matches the Rfam family "Bacterial small subunit ribosomal RNA", at positions 8 to 526 of the family's 1533-position model. Lineage: Bacteria; Pseudomonadati; Bacteroidota. The record is from RNAcentral.